UUGCGUAGGUGGUUUGUUAAGUGAAUGGUGAAAUCUGGUGGCUCAACCACACAGAUUAUUAUUCAAACUGGCAAACUCGAGAGUAGCAGAGGUAACUGGAAUUUCUAGUGUAGGAGUAAAAUCCGUAGAUAUUAGAAGGAACACCAAUGGCGUAGGCAGGUUACUGGGCUAUUUCUGACACUGAAGCACGAAAGCGUGGGGAGCAAACA
This 209-nucleotide ribosomal RNA is filed under the name uncultured bacterium. RNAcentral's name for it is "partial 16S ribosomal RNA". It matches the Rfam family "Bacterial small subunit ribosomal RNA", at positions 567 to 774 of the family's 1533-position model. The record is from RNAcentral.